Long non-coding RNA from Etheostoma spectabile (orangethroat darter), 142 nucleotides. RefSeq lists it as uncharacterized. The transcript has 3 exons. The record is from RefSeq and is a predicted model, not a curated record. NCBI's taxonomy places the organism in Eukaryota, Metazoa, Chordata, Actinopteri, Perciformes, Percidae.
UAUUGUAGAGGAAAUGCUGCCCUUAAACACGAUUGACUCACUCUCUUUCAUGCCAUAAUAAACAAGAUCCCCACUACUGUCAAUGCUGAGCUGCCUCACAAUAAACCGGUUGUCAUUUUAUGUUGAGGCUGUGGGGAUGUUG